UUGUCCUUGGGGGCGCUUUAGUUGUUUGACGGGUGCACGGUGCGCGCGGUUUGUGUGUGUGUGUGCCAUGCUGUGUUCUGCAAUGCUUCGUUACCACGUUUAUCGAUUAUGCACGUUGGUUACUUGAUUCAAUGUCAAGUGUACCUUCCAAGACGAUCUAGGUCCUAGUCUCGUGACUGAAGGCGAGUGCGGACGUACAGCAGCCUUUUGACAAGACUGUCGCCGAGUGUACGGUACAUUGUGGACUGUAAAGCUGAAGAGUGCACAGUGGAUGCCUGAUUUUGGAACCGAGUGUGAUCGUCUGGGCGGUGUGUUCACUCUGCGGGGAUGAUGGCCAGAGGAAGGAUGAUAGACAGACGACAGCUUGCAGACGAAGAUGGGAGCGUUCUACCUGUGAGCCUGGUCGAGCUUAUAUUUUAUGGUAGGCAUUUGUUUCAAUCUUUACAAAAAGCUUCGACAUGUUGCGCCUGCUCAUGAACCUAUUGCAA
Long non-coding RNA from Rhipicephalus sanguineus (brown dog tick), 488 nucleotides. RefSeq lists it as uncharacterized. The transcript is spliced from 3 exons. Lineage: Eukaryota; Metazoa; Arthropoda; Arachnida; Ixodida; Ixodidae. The record is from RefSeq and is a predicted model, not a curated record.